Mercenaria mercenaria is the source of this 164-nucleotide long non-coding RNA. RefSeq lists it as uncharacterized. The transcript is spliced from 3 exons. The record is from RefSeq and is a predicted model, not a curated record. Lineage: Eukaryota; Metazoa; Mollusca; Bivalvia; Venerida; Veneridae.
UCCUUCAUUCUCUAGUCUUUGUUGUGCUGUACAAGUUGGCGCAUACAGAGUCGGUAAAACGCGACACGUCGCUGGAAUGUCAUCAAGAGUUUGCUGAGCACAUGUUGAAGGCUCACGGAGAGAAGGACUGGCUACAUGGACAUGAACAUCCGUGAGGGACCAAG